RNAcentral lists this ribosomal RNA (256 nucleotides) under Mycobacterium sp. ISOM312_OTU578. Its description in RNAcentral is "partial 16S ribosomal RNA". It matches the Rfam family "Bacterial small subunit ribosomal RNA", at positions 29 to 289 of the family's 1533-position model. The record is from RNAcentral. Lineage: Bacteria; Bacillati; Actinomycetota; Actinomycetes; Mycobacteriales; Mycobacteriaceae.
ACGAACGCUGGCGGCGUGCUUAACACAUGCAAGUCGAACGGAAAGGCCCUUCGGGGUACUCGAGUGGCGAACGGGUGAGUAACACGUGGGUGAUCUGCCCUGCACUUUGGGAUAAGCCUGGGAAACUGGGUCUAAUACCGAAUAUGACCAUGGCAUGCAUGUGCUGUGGUGGAAAGCUUUUGCGGUGUGGGAUGGGCCCGCGGCCUAUCAGCUUGUUGGUGAGGUUACGGCUCACCAAGGCGACGACGGGUAGCCG